GGGGGCUGGGGCGGCGGACCAGGGCCUUCUUGCUGGGCACGAGAGUGACUCCGUAUCGGACGGGACGUGUCGGUACCGCGCCGGGGGCCUCCC
RNAcentral lists this transfer RNA (93 nucleotides) under Streptomyces griseomycini. Its description in RNAcentral is "tRNA-Pro(ggg)". Lineage: Bacteria; Bacillati; Actinomycetota; Actinomycetes; Kitasatosporales; Streptomycetaceae. RNAcentral also lists the same sequence under 1 other name. The record is from RNAcentral.